GGAGAGGUGUCCGAGUCUGGUUGAAGGAGCUGGUCUCGAAAACCAGUGUAGGCGUAAGUCUACCGAGAGUUCGAAUCUCUCCCUCUCCG
Molecule: transfer RNA, 89 nt
Filed under: Candidatus Omnitrophota bacterium
Lineage: Bacteria; Pseudomonadati; Candidatus Omnitrophota
Description: Candidatus Omnitrophica bacterium tRNA-Ser
Rfam family: tRNA
About the family: Transfer RNA (tRNA) molecules are approximately 80 nucleotides in length. Their secondary structure includes four short double-helical elements and three loops (D, anti-codon, and T loops).
Source: RNAcentral